Molecule: ribosomal RNA, 709 nt
Filed under: Phytophthora melonis
Lineage: Eukaryota; Oomycota; Peronosporomycetes; Peronosporales; Peronosporaceae
Description: eukaryotic LSU rRNA
Rfam family: Eukaryotic large subunit ribosomal RNA
Source: RNAcentral
UAGUACGGCGAGUGAGCGGGAAGAGCUCAAGCUUAAAAUCUCCGUGCAAGUUUUGCGCGGCGAAUUGUAGUCUAUAGAGGCGUGGUCAGCGUGGGCGCUUGGGGCAAGUUCCUUGGAAGAGGACAGCAUGGAGGGUGAUACUCCCGUUCAUCCCUGAGUGGCUCGUGCGUACGACCCGUGUUCUUUGAGUCGCGUUGUUUGGGAAUGCAGCGCAAAGUAGGUGGUAAAUUCCAUCUAAAGCUAAAUAUUGGUGCGAGACCGAUAGCGAACAAGUACCGUGAGGGAAAGAUGAAAAGAACUUUGAAAAGAGAGUUAAAGAGUACCUGAAACUGCUGAAAGGGAACCGAAUCGUUUCCAGUGUCUAUAAUCCGUGGCAUAUUUCAUUGGCGAGUGUGUGCGUGCGUGUGCUGUGGCAGUGGCUUUUUUGGCUGCGCUCGGUGUGUGUGCUGUGUGUGCUUGCUGGUGCCCUGUGCUGCGGUGGGACGUCAAGGUCAGUUCGUAUGCUGCGGGAAAUGGCUGCCGAGGAGGUAGGGCUUACGCUCCGCGUUUGUCUGUUAUAUCUUGGUGGACGAGUCGUCGCGGUUGGGACUGAGGUGCCUACAACGUGCUUUUGAGUGGGUUUGUGUCUCCGUGUGCGCCGUGUGCGGAUAGCUUGCUAUGCGUGUGUGGUUGUGUGUGGAUUGAUGCGGGCUUUAACUUGUCGCCGUUC